This is a long non-coding RNA of Cebus imitator (Panamanian white-faced capuchin), 517 nucleotides long. RefSeq lists it as uncharacterized. The record is from RefSeq and is a predicted model, not a curated record. Lineage: Eukaryota; Metazoa; Chordata; Mammalia; Primates; Cebidae. The transcript is spliced from 3 exons.
AAACUGACAAGUAAUUACAAGGGAGGCGGGGAACAACCAGGGGCAAAUCAGAGAUUUGUUGUGGUGCCUGGUCUUUAUAGCUUCCCGAAAAUAUUCGUUGGAUGGAUGGUGGAGAGGAGGCUCCCACUUUCUAAAUGGAUAUAAAUGAAAAAACUGAAGCUCAGAGAGAUGAACCAACCUGCUGAAGAAUCCACAGUUGAGAUGUGGCAGGCCAGGUGUGGAGCUCGGACUGGUCCACACUUGCCUCGAUGCUGUGCUCUCUGACUAUCAUGAUCAUCCCGCCACCACCAUCCUCAACCCCGUAGCUCAGCCAAGCUCCAGUCCUCACAGAUGCUGCAGCAAUGGCCACCAGGCUUGGUCCUGGGCUGGCCCCCUUCACCUGGGGUCAUGAGCCAUGAAGUUGAUUUACUGACCCACGAAUGGGUCACAACCCGCAGUUUGGAAACACCUGGCUGGACCCGCACCUGUGCUUUCCAGCUACUCCUAGAGCCUCCGGGCCCCAGGAAGGCGGCGUGAU